Brachypodium distachyon (stiff brome) is the source of this 545-nucleotide long non-coding RNA. RefSeq lists it as uncharacterized. The record is from RefSeq and is a predicted model, not a curated record. The transcript is spliced from 6 exons. Lineage: Eukaryota; Viridiplantae; Streptophyta; Magnoliopsida; Poales; Poaceae.
GCAAAUGUUCUAGAAGAGUUACUUAUCUUCCCAGCAUAUCGAGAGUAAAGUAUGAGCGAAACAUUGCAGAUUGUUCUUGCUAAGCUAAAAGAUACAGAGGCUCACCAGGAUUGAUAGUUUGAAAACAAAAAUAUUCACUAUUAGCUGCACUCAGCGAAGGAUAUUCGACAGGACAAUCAGUUUCAAAGGGCCACUGCUAGCAAAGUUGUCGAGACUGAGUCGGCUUUACGUCAUAAAGCGAGAAUAGAGAGGCAUCAACGCACCACUGAGCGUGUGAUUCUUGGACCUGACAGUGGUUGGCAGCCAGUGCCACUUACAGAUCUCAUUACAACUGUUGCUGUGAAGAAAGCCUACAGGAAGGCAACUCUCUGUGUUCAUCCAGAUAAAUUACAUCAAAGGGGUGCUACAAUCAGACAGAAGUACAUCUGUGAGAAGGUUUUCGAUCUUCUCAAGGAAUGGCGAGAAGGAUAAUCAUAUGGUGCCAAAGAAACAGGAAUGGCGAGAAGGUUGUGGCUGACACGGUCUUUGUGAAUCUCCGAUGCCCG